RNAcentral lists this long non-coding RNA (3088 nucleotides) under Ananas comosus (pineapple). RNAcentral describes it as "long non-coding RNA (ACOM_LNC019912)". The record is from RNAcentral. Lineage: Eukaryota; Viridiplantae; Streptophyta; Magnoliopsida; Poales; Bromeliaceae.
GGAUCGUGGAUCGGAGAUCGUUCGGUGGUCGCGUGCGAAUUGGGUCGAGCCGAGCGGCGUGCGCCGCGCGAUGCCGAUUGCGAGUGACGACGAGCAAUCGGAACGCGAUAAAAGGUGGGGGGUGUCCAUCCUGAAGCAACUGAGUUCUUCCUAUGUCCGAGUUAGACUUGUUGAUCAUGUUCCAUGUAUUCACUCUUAUGCAUUAUACGAUAUUGUUAUAAAUGUAUUCCUUCCUUGCAUGCUUGUUUAGUAGUGUAGCUUGGUGGCUUGACACAUGAUUCUAAGGGGCAUGAGGAUUGGGUAGUUUGGCAUGAGAUCCUAUAGUGAUAUGAAUUGGCGAACUUAAACUUGGUAACGAGAACCAAUAGAUUGUAAAUUAGUGUAUUAUAAACACUUAUAACUUGGACGAGUGGCAUAUAAACAAUGAUCAUGACAAUGACGAGUGGCAUCGGAACCUAGUUGUGGCAUAUUGCAUGAGAAUUGAGUGUAGUUGAUACUAAGACAUUGAACAUAGGGAUUAGUGGAGUUUCCCUAGUUAUGAUAUAUUGCCUGGGUGAAUUUCCCUAGUUGCAAUUCAUGUAGAGAACCUAAAGUGUUAUGUUGAUAAUCCUAGAUGGUAGGGUAUUCCUGGUUCCCAAGAAUUGGAUCGUGCUCUCAUAGCCUGUCUGUGCUUGUAGUGGUAGCUCCACACAAGUUGUGCACUCCGGAGUAGUUGUCACUUGAGGGGCAGUCGAGAGAGCUGCCCGGACAGUCGGUGAGCUGUCCGCAGGCGGUCUCGGGGGAUAGUUCAGCGAGACUUCUCCCCUAUAAGACUUAAAAAAUGUGAAAUUGAGAACGAGUUUUUGGGUUAGCCAAUGAUUGGGUAAGUUGAUGAAUAGCCUUGUUGAUGAACAUAGUAGUAUGGUAGCUAGCCUUUACUAUGAGCUACAUUGUUAUUGAGCAUAGUCGCUUGGUAGUUAGCCUUGUGGAUUUGCCUUCAUACCGUGAGUGAGCAUACUAUUCCUUUACCUAUGAGAUUUGAGCGGGACAGCCUUGUACCUAGUAGAGCGAGAUUGAGUCGGGCGAGGAGCGGGGUAGGCCUAGGACCUUCGAGAUUGAGUCGGGCGAGGAGCGGGGUAGCUCUUUGCUUAGGACCUUCGAGAUAUGAGUUGGGUGAGAUAAGAGCGGGGUAGCUCUUCACUUAUGUGGUUUGAGAUUUUAGGAAGGUUAGUCGAGUGGAUUGGGUUGUGAGGACAAGAGCGGGGUAGCUCUUCCCCUACAGGAUUUGAAGUCUUAGGCGGGGUAGCCUAAUGAAUUGGGUAAUGACAUGAAUAGCAUAAGCGGAUUUGCAUUUAUACCAUGAUUAGACAUAAUGGACUGCAUAACUAUGUGGUAGUUGUAUUCAUCACAUUGUUGAAGCAUACUAGCUUGAUAGAAGGUUGUUGCUAGAUGAUGUUCUAUGCAUUCCUUGCAUUUGAUGGCAUAGUAGAUUAUAGUAGCAGUUUAUUUCUAUCUACCUUUCUAUCUAUCUAUCUGUGCCAGCUUAGACCUAGUGGGAAGAUCGGCGGAGUCGGCGGCCGAACCCACUAGGAACUAUAUUUAUGUAGUUCUCACCCCAUUUUACUGCAGGGCCGAGUGCGAGCGUUCCGGGGGAGGAUCGCGGUAAGGGCAUAGCGCCCUAGUGUAGUGACUUUCCAUUAUGCAUUAGAGCUACCUUUUGUAUAUGAGCGUAGAUGAUGUAUAGGUGUGAGGCUAUUUUGGAAAAUGUAAACUUAUGUUCAUGUUUUCGAAGUUUAAGUGUAAUCAAGUUGUAUUAAAAAUGAUUGAAUGAAUGUAAUAGAUUAGUAUCUCUCUCUUUUAUUCACUUGUUUAUUACUUGUGAUGCUUGCUCUUACUUGUUUAGCACUGGUUAUGCUCUCGUCGUUGUUGCUGAUUGUGUACGUAUUCAAGUGCUUUCCGAAGAACUUGUUGUACAUAAUCUCGUCGCUUUAGCCUUGGGCGGAUAGGGGAGGUGUUGUCCGUCCGGCGUCUGUCCGACGCGCCCGAACCGGACCAAAUUGGUAGCGGUCUCGGGGCGUGACGGAUAAAGUGGUGUCAGAGCGAGUUAAGAGCAAGUAAAGAGAGAGUCUAGAACUGACCUAGGAGACUCUAGGACGGUGAACCUUAAGGCUAUAGGCGCGUGAGUGCGACGUGAGCCUUUACGGGUGGCGGAAGUCGAUCGAUUGGGUCGAAGUUGAUUGUAUGUCUCCAGUUGUGGCUAGAGAUGGAUUCAAGUGGUAUGAGUUCUUGACUUGAAGUGGUUGUGUUGGGCGGCCGGCAACACGACACUAAGAGUUUGGAACAAGUACACUUGUGUGCUUCCGCUUGAUUUGCGAUGUUGAGUCGCGUUGUUUCGCUAUUGUGGCGACGUUAACGGGUUAAGGUGAUUAACCAAGUUGUUGUGUUUCAGGAGCUAAUGGCACCAAUGAGACACUACGUGCAUAGAUCCGUUCCGGCACAGCCUGCUGAGGUGCCAGAACAAGCUGGGUCAAGUGAGGUGCAAGAACUGCGGGCGCAGAUGACUGCACUAGUUGGCGUGGUUCAACGCCAAGGGAGUCUGAUCGAGCGGCUCCAGGAGCUUUUGUAGCGGCUGGUAGCGGCGGCGGCCGCGACGGCAACUGAAGGUCGUGGUUCGCCUGCGCCCUCAAUUCGCGCGCUUGAUGCGGCUGAGGGUGAGGGCCUUGCAGCGGUUCCGGUGGCGGCACAUUCCCCGCCGGUUAGUGUUCCUCUGGCGGCUUCGGGUUCUGCAAUACUCAAUGCGGCGGCUGAGGAGGUGGAAUGGGAGUGCAAGGCGUUCGAAGAGGAUAAAGGGAAGAAACGACCUGGCGGUAGUUCGGCGGGACAGUUUAGUUCCCAGAAGCCCCCGAAGAAGUAUCGGGUGAGGUGGUCCGAUGGCUAUGGACCUAAGCGAUGUGUGAUCUGCGGUGGAGAGCAUCGCGCAGGAAAUUAUGAGCAUAGGGCGGACGGUGCUUCAAGUGUGGUCGGGCGGGGCAUGUAAGCCAUUGCUGCCCAGAGGGAGCGUCGCCUGCACCGUUUAUUACAUUCGCCCCAGUGGCUCCGAGGCAGUUUG